Castor canadensis (American beaver) is the source of this 1005-nucleotide non-coding RNA. Lineage: Eukaryota; Metazoa; Chordata; Mammalia; Rodentia; Castoridae. The record is from RefSeq and is a predicted model, not a curated record.
GCGCGUGCUGAGGUGGGCGAGCGGCCGACAUGGCGCCCUCCGGGCGUCUGGUUUCUUUGGUGGCCUUGGUGGUGGUGUUUUGGGGGGCUCCCUGGGCCCACGGCCGGCGGAGCGACGUGCGCGUCAUCACGGACGAGAACUGGACAGAGCUGCUGGAAGGAGAGUGGAUGAUAGAAUUUUAUGCUCCCCGGUGUCCUGCUUGUCAGAAUCUUCAACCAGAAUGGGAAAGUUUUGCUGAAUGGGGAGAAGAUCUUGAGGUUAAUGUUGCAAAAGUAGAUGUCACAGAGCAGACAGGACUAAGUGGACGGUUUAUUAUAACUGCUCUUCCUACUAUUUAUCAUUGUAAAGAUGGUGAAUUUAGGCGCUAUCAGGGUCCACGGACUAAGAAGGACUUCAUAAACUUCCUAAGUGAAAAAGAGUGGGAGAGUAUUGAACCAGUUUCAUCAUGGUUUGGUCCAGGUUCUGUUCUGAUGAGUAGUGUGUCAGCACUUUUUCGGCUAUCUAUGUACAUCAGGACUUGUCAUAACUAUUUUAUUGAAGACCUUGGAUUACCAGUUUGGGGUUCAUACACAGUUUUUGCUUUAGUGACUCUGCUUUCAGGACUAUUAUUAGGACUUGGUAUGAUAUUUGUUGCAGAUUGCCUUUGUCCUUCAAAAAGGCGCAAACCACAGCCAUACUCUUCAAAAAAAUCAUUACCAGAAUUUUCUCAGCCUUUGAAAAAAGUGGAGGAAGAACAAGAGGCUGAUGAAGAAGAUGUUUCAGAAGAGGAAGCAGAAAAUAAAGAAGAGACAAACAAAGACUUUCCACAGAAUACCAUAAGACAACGCUCUGUGGGUCCAUCAUUGGCUACAGAUAAAUCCUAGUUAAUUUUUACAGAUACCUUAAUACUACAGUUUUGACAAAAGCAAAAGAUCGAUCAUUUGUUUUGAAGUGAACUGUGACUUGCUUGUAUUUUGCAGGGCUCAGUGUAAGUGAUCAUAGAUUGAACAGUUUUCAUUCAGAAAA